UGCGGGACGUUGAACCCA
RNAcentral lists this small nuclear RNA (18 nucleotides) under Arabidopsis thaliana (thale cress). Its description in RNAcentral is "snRNA_06992". The record is from RNAcentral. Lineage: Eukaryota; Viridiplantae; Streptophyta; Magnoliopsida; Brassicales; Brassicaceae.